Molecule: ribosomal RNA, 254 nt
Filed under: uncultured bacterium
Lineage: Bacteria
Description: partial 16S ribosomal RNA
Rfam family: Bacterial small subunit ribosomal RNA
Source: RNAcentral
UACGUAGGGUGCGAGCGUUGUCCGGAAUUAUUGGGCGUAAAGAGCUCGUAGGCGGUCUGUCGCGUCGAUCGUGAAAACUUGGGGCUUAACCCUGAGCUUGCGGUCGAUACGGGCAUGACUGGAGUUCGGCAGGGGAGACUGGAAUUCCUGGUGUAGCGGUGAAAUGCGCAGAUAUCAGGAGGAACACCGGUGGCGAAGGCGGGUCUCUGGGCCGAUACUGACGCUGAGGCGCGAAAGCGUGGGGAGCGAACAGG